Molecule: ribosomal RNA, 506 nt
Filed under: uncultured microorganism
Description: bacterial SSU rRNA
Rfam family: Bacterial small subunit ribosomal RNA
Source: RNAcentral
GAGUUUGAUCAUGGCUCAGAUUGAACGCUGGCGGCAUGCCUUACACAUGCAAGUCGAACGGCAGCAUGAUCUAGCUUGCUAGAUUGAUGGCGAGUGGCGAACGGGUGAGUAGUACAUCGGAACGUGCCCUGUAGUGGGGGAUAACUAGUCGAAAGAUUAGCUAAUACCGCAUACGACCUGAGGGUGAAAGUGGGGGACCGCAAGGCCUCAUGCUAUAGGAGCGGCCGAUGUCUGAUUAGCUAGUUGGUGGGGUAAAGGCCCACCAAGGCGACGAUCAGUAGCUGGUCUGAGAGGACGAUCAGCCACACUGGGACUGAGACACGGCCCAGACUCCUACGGGAGGCAGCAGUGGGGAAUUUUGGACAAUGGGCGAAAGCCUGAUCCAGCAAUGCCGCGUGUGUGAAGAAGGCCUUUGGGUUGUAAAGCACUUUGUCCGGAAGAAAUGGCUCUGGUUAAUACCUGGGGUCGAUGACGGUACCGGAAGAAUAAGGACCGGCUAACUACGU